Molecule: ribosomal RNA, 497 nt
Filed under: uncultured bacterium
Lineage: Bacteria
Description: partial 16S ribosomal RNA
Rfam family: Bacterial small subunit ribosomal RNA
Source: RNAcentral
GAUGAACGCUGGCGGCGUGCCUAAUACAUGCAAGUCGAGCGAACAGACGAGGAGCUUGCUCCUCUGACGUUAGCGGCGGACGGGUGAGUAACACGUGGAUAACCUACCUAUAAGACUGGGAUAACCUCGGGAAACCGGAGCUAAUACCGGAUAAUAUAUUGAACCGCAUGGUUCAAUAGUGAAAGACGGUUUUGCUGUCACUUAUAGAUGGAUCCGCGCCGCAUUAGCUAGUUGGUAAGGUAACGGCUUACCAAGGCAACGAUGCGUAGCCGACCUGAGAGGGUGAUAGGCCACACUGGAACUGAGACACGGUCCAGACUCCUAAGGGAGGCAGCAGUAGGGAAUCUUCCGCAAUGGGCGAAAGCCUGACGGAGCAACGCCGCGUGAGUGAUGAAGGUCUUCGGAUCGUAAAACUCUGUUAUUAGGGAAGAACAAAUGUGUAAGUAACUAUGCACGUCUUGACGGUACCUAAUCAGAAAGCCACGGCUAACUACGUG